GAUAAGGAGCUUGCUCCUUUGACGUUAGCGGCGGACGGGUGAGUAACACGUGGGUAACCUACCUAUAAGACUGGAAUAACUCCGGGAAACCGGGGCUAAUGCCGGAUAAUAUUUAGAACCGCAUGGUUCUAAAGUGAAAGAUGGUUUUGCUAUCACUUAUAGAUGGACCCGCGCCGUAUUAGCUAGUUGGUGGGGUAAUGGCUUACCAAGGCAACGAUACGUAGCCGACCUGAGAGGGUGAUCGGCCACACUGGAACUGAGACACGGUCCAGACUCCUACGGGAGGCAGCAGUAGGGAAUCUUCCGCAAUGGGCGAAAGCCUGACGGAGCAACGCCGCGUGAGUGAUGAAGGUCUUCGGAUCGUAAAACUCUGUUAUUAGGGAAGAACAAAUGUGUAAGUAACUGUGCACGUCUUGACGGUACCUAAUCAGAAAGCCACGGCUAACUACGUGCCAGCAG
Molecule: ribosomal RNA, 459 nt
Filed under: Staphylococcus nepalensis
Lineage: Bacteria; Bacillati; Bacillota; Bacilli; Caryophanales; Staphylococcaceae
Description: bacterial SSU rRNA
Rfam family: Bacterial small subunit ribosomal RNA
Source: RNAcentral